UUGUAUUGGUUUUGCCAUACAUCAUUUUUUAAAAAAGAUUCUGACAUGGAAAUUGAUCUCCAGGAAUUGGCUGUGGCAAAGACUGGGGGUAAAGGUGGAGAUGGUCCUGAUGUCAGGGAGGAGGUUGCAUCAAAUACAGAGCCUGUUGAAAUGCCAGAAGCAGGUGAAGGGCAACCAUUUGCUUGAAAGAAGAUAAACUGGAACCAUCUAUGCUGUUCUUAUGUUGGAUAUUUGA
Molecule: long non-coding RNA, 235 nt
Filed under: Bos indicus x Bos taurus (hybrid cattle)
Lineage: Eukaryota; Metazoa; Chordata; Mammalia; Artiodactyla; Bovidae
Description: lncRNA (ENSBIXG00000028812.1)
Source: RNAcentral